UGAUUUUGUUAAUUUCCUUUGAGUUAGACUAAUGUUAUGACCUUGUUAACCUAUGCAGCUUUUGGAGAUUACACAAGUUCCUGAUGCACAUGUGAAUGAGUUUUAACUCAAUUGAAAAAUUCAAGAUCUUCAAUACGAACAAUUUAUGGGUGAACUUGAAGGCUAUCAAGUGACUUGUGGAGGCCGAUGCACUUAAAAUGGAGAUCAUUCCUAACCCUAAGGAAGUAAAUGGUGUGAAAGUUCUUCAACUUGAAACUGCAGCUGGUGCAACAAUACGUUUCUUCAAUCAUGCUAUUGGGAUUAAUGUUCCCUGCUCUCACUUCCUCCCUGUGAAAGUAACAUCAGACUUGCUGCUAGUCCAGUUGGAUCUUUAUACUCAUUGAUGGAUGGCUUUGUGAUUUGCAACCAAGCUAGAUCAAACUAUGCGAACCCCACAAUCGAAUUAGGUCCUGAAUAUAAGAAGGUAGAAGAUGAUGUUCUUUAGAAUCAGAGAUCAGACUUUUACCCAUGUGCACUUAACGCCGGCCAUUCUUUUCCAUCUUGCGGGUUGGUGAUUUCCUUCACCAGCUCAAAUCCAUUCCGAGCAUUGUGGAUCUUGAUAGCUUGUAGGUUUCUGGUGAUGUAUGGUUUGGUGCUGGCCAUAGUUCUCAAGGGCAAGGUGACAAUCACCAACAAUUCCGUCAAGAAGCUUGAAAUUCCUGAUAGGAUCGUUCUUGAGAACAAGAAUAUCAAUGGCCCUGAGGACAUCUGAGUAUCUUUCCCUAGAGCAUUUGUAAGUCGGAGUUUUGCUUGUUUAAUGUGAUCAUCCUGUUGUUUAUCAGUUCAGUUCCUUUUGAUCAUAGCAGCAUUAUCUGCUCUACAAUAUUUGAGAGCCGUGCAAUUGAGUUUUGACACUUAUAAAGUUAACAAAUGAAGGUUUACUUACAAUGAUA
Long non-coding RNA from Dioscorea cayenensis subsp. rotundata (Guinea yam), 932 nucleotides. RefSeq lists it as uncharacterized. NCBI's taxonomy places the organism in Eukaryota, Viridiplantae, Streptophyta, Magnoliopsida, Dioscoreales, Dioscoreaceae. The transcript is spliced from 8 exons. The record is from RefSeq and is a predicted model, not a curated record.